CCGAAAGCUUCUAGAGAAACACUUUGUAUACAUUCACUUUAUUGCAAGAUAUUUCUUAAACAAGCAGACUCAUUUUUAACGUUUGCAUAGUUCAAGCAGUUCUGUGUAGCAAUGGUUAAAUGAUAUCAAGAUGAAGGUGGUUGGAAUGGGAAAUAUUAUUGACCAAUAGUUUCAUUUUUCAUCAGCCAUAAAUGCUACCUUAUAUAUCAAAUAUCCAAAACGUACUAGUCCAAUUCGCAUUUCGUAAUGCAUCUAAUCCAAUUACUCCAAAAAUACCAAUAUUUUCAUGUUACAAGACAAUGUUCAAAACCAAUAAAUUAAAAAAAUAUAUCUCAUCAAUAUUAAUUUCUCCGCUUUAGUUGUGAAAAUGCUAAACAUUGUUGAAUUGUGUGUAAAAUUCGAUUCUGUCAGCUGACACCUAAAAGGUGACAUUAAAUAUGUCUACAUCUAAAACAAAUAAUGCACUGCCUCUUUUAGUGACAUUAAUCCAUUUCUCAUAUGACAAGAAAAAAAUAGAAAUCUUCUCUCAACACAUACCGCUGACUGACAAAACUAAUUCCCUUUUGUUGGAUUUAGAUAUCUGAUUCAGAGUCUUUUCCCUACAAAGUCCUCUUCAACGUGGGCCGUGUGGUCGGUUGAUGAAAGCAGAAGGCUGCAGACGGCCAGAGAGAAGCAGCGGGGAGGAGAAGGAAGAGCCAAAGACAUUAUUCAAGCCAUGGGUUCCCCUCGGCAUUUCAAAUAUGUGCUGAUUUUGGCAGUCUAGAGCAUCCCCCCGUCUGGGACGCCCUUGGAUCUCUUAAUCGAAGAGUUACAACAACACACCACAAAGGUCUCAGGACGCCUCGGAGGAGCACUACACCGACCCCACUGCACUGUGGUACACUUCCAUCAACUCUCCACUGCCUGACUGUCAAAGACAAUGGCUGGUAGGUUUAUAGGGGUUUGGGGGGGUUGGUUGUGUUGUAUGUAUUUUUGACUGAUGAAAUGCAUGUUCUGUGAUCAGUGUGUCAACAUAAUAUCAAUCUGAUUAAAAUCUAUUCUUUAUCAAAAUAUACAGGAAUUAUAUGGCACUACAUUAUAUGAUAUGAUAACUCUCAGAUAAAACUAUGACAUGAAGGUAUUGUAAUCUGCUGGCCUAGCCGUGCACAUAUGUCCCAAUGUGCAGACUUACAUUUCUAAGGUCACUUCUAUUUCCUCUAGCAGUGGUCACAUUUUAACAUGAAGAUUAUGAAUGUAUGUCCACAGAACUUUAACAAGUGAUGAGGGAUAUAAUUAAACUAAUUUAAAGAUAAAAAAUAAACAUGUAUUCCAGGCGCUAGACACAGUGGUUCCCAUUGAGGUGGUGGUGCUCCUUCAGGCAAAUAUAAAAAGGCUAACAAAGGUUUUGUGUAAAAGACAUUUGCUUAAAAGGGUCGGGGGUCAGGUUUAAGUUAGGCUUCAUAGUGCGUUCAAAAUAAGCUCU
Gadus macrocephalus (Pacific cod) is the source of this 1462-nucleotide long non-coding RNA. RefSeq lists it as uncharacterized. The transcript has 2 exons. The record is from RefSeq and is a predicted model, not a curated record. Lineage: Eukaryota; Metazoa; Chordata; Actinopteri; Gadiformes; Gadidae.